Molecule: non-coding RNA, 29 nt
Filed under: Mus musculus (house mouse)
Lineage: Eukaryota; Metazoa; Chordata; Mammalia; Rodentia; Muridae
Source: RNAcentral
UCAAAUAAGCAUGGUAAAAUGGUACCUGG